AAACCAAAAAGCCCCCCUCCCCCCCAAAAAAAAACCCCACAGAUAAGGAGAAAUAACAAAUAAUAAAACAGCAAAUGUUGAUGUUGUGCGAAUGGAAGAGUCACGUGAUUUUUCUUUGAUUGGCACGUUGAGCUCGACAAGGGAAGAGAGCAUGGUGUUUACAGCACAAUACAGUUUAGAAAAUAACGGCCAAUUUAGGUGGUAAAAAUGAUACUGUUAUUGUUGAGAGAAACUAGAUGAGUAAACUGCAGACAGUUAAUGCACAUGCAUAGCACAGGGGCUAAUAAGGGAGAUUCAGAGAACAUUUCAGACCAGCUUUAUACAGACAGGCUAAUUUACAAACAAAUAUAUAAUAUGGGUAAAGUCUAUAGGUGUAUAUAUUUGGUUAUGCAAGUUUGUUAUUGAAUUCCAAUUAC
This is a long non-coding RNA of Patella vulgata (common limpet), 416 nucleotides long. RefSeq lists it as uncharacterized. NCBI's taxonomy places the organism in Eukaryota, Metazoa, Mollusca, Gastropoda, Patellidae. The transcript is spliced from 4 exons. The record is from RefSeq and is a predicted model, not a curated record.